Molecule: ribosomal RNA, 497 nt
Filed under: uncultured bacterium
Lineage: Bacteria
Description: partial 16S ribosomal RNA
Rfam family: Bacterial small subunit ribosomal RNA
Source: RNAcentral
GAUGAACGCUGGCGGCGUGCCUAAUACAUGCAAGUCGAGCGAACGGACGAGACGCUUGCUUUUCUGAUGUUAGCGGCGGACGGGUGAGUAACACGUGGAUAACCUCCCUAUAAGACUGGGAUCACUUCGGGAAACCGGAGCUAAUACCGGAUAAUAUUUUGCACCGCAUGGUUCAAAAGUGAAAGACGGUCUUGCUGUCACUUAUAGAUGGAUCCGCGCUGCAUUAGAUAGUUGGUAAGGUAACGGCUUACCAAGGCAACGAUGCGUAGCCGACCUGAGAGGCGGAUAGGCGACACGGGAACGGGGACAGGGUCAAGACUACUACGGGAGGCAGCAGUAGGGAAUGUGACGCAAUGGGCGAAAGCAUGACGGAGCAAGGCCGCGUGAGUGAUGAAGGUCUUCGGAGCGUAAAACUCGGUUAUGAGGGAAGAACAGAUGUGUAAGUAAAUGUGCACAGCUUGACGGUACCUAAUAAGAAAGCAACGGCUAACUACGUG